GGAGGUGAGGGUGAUCUGGCUGCAACAUCUGUCACCCCAUUGAUCAACACAGUUGAUUUGUCCAAUCUGGCAGGCUAGACGGGUGUGCCCCUUCUCCCUCAUUGCUCCAUGUGCACUCCUCUAGAAGCUGCACACUCCGUCACAGAAUGAUCUUGCCCAAUAGAGGAGGAUGGGUCUUCAGUCAAGGGUACACAGGGAGCUGUGCUCCCUUGCUAGAAUCUCCAAACAAGCUCUCAGGAAUGCUGUGAACUGGUUGUCACUGAAUGUGUGUCAAUGUAGUGUUUGUUCGUUUCUU
This 295-nucleotide small nuclear RNA is filed under the name Jaculus jaculus (lesser Egyptian jerboa). Its description in RNAcentral is "7SK RNA (ENSJJAG00000002656.1)". It matches the Rfam family "7SK RNA". From Rfam's summary of the family: 7SK was discovered as an abundant small nuclear RNA in the mid-70s but a possible function has only recently been suggested. Two independent studies have found that 7SK RNA binds the CDK9/cyclin T complex (known as elongation factor P-TEFb). The record is from Rfam by way of RNAcentral. Lineage: Eukaryota; Metazoa; Chordata; Mammalia; Rodentia; Dipodidae.